AUGAACGCUGGCGGCGUGCCUAAUACAUGCAAGUCGAGCGAACAGACGAGGAGCUUGCUCCUCUGACGUUAGCGGCGGACGGGUGAGUAACACGUGGAUAACCUACCUAUAAGACUGGGAUAACUUCGGGAAACCGGAGCUAAUACCGGAUAAUAUAUUGAACCGCAUGGUUCAAUAGUGAAAGUCGGUUUUGCUGUCACUUAUAGAUGGAUCCGCGCCGCAUUAGCUAGUUGGUAAGGUAACGGCUUACCAAGGCAACGAUGCGUAGCCGACCUGAGAGGGUGAUCGGCCACACUGGAAAUGAGACACGGUCCAGACUCCUACGGGAGGCAGCAGUAGGGAAUCUUCCGCAAUGGGCGAAAGCCUGACGGAGCAACGCCGCGUGAGUGAUGAAGGUCUUCGGAUCGUAAAACUCUGUUAUUAGGGAAGAACAAAUGUGUAAGUAACUAUGCACGUCUUGACGGUACCUAAUCAGAAAGCCACGGCUAACUACGUG
This 496-nucleotide ribosomal RNA is filed under the name uncultured bacterium. RNAcentral's name for it is "partial 16S ribosomal RNA". It matches the Rfam family "Bacterial small subunit ribosomal RNA", at positions 29 to 507 of the family's 1533-position model. The record is from RNAcentral.